UGGGGAAUUUAGCACAAUGGGGGAAACCCUGAUGCAGCGACGCCGCGUGAUUUAGAAGGCCUUCGGGUUGUAAAAAUCUUUUCUAUGGGAAGAAAAUGACAGUACCAUAGGAAUAAGGACUGGCUAAUUACGUGCCAGCAGCCGCGGUAAUACGUAAGGUCCGAGCGGUGUGCGGAAUCAUUGGGCGUAAAGGGUACGUAGGCGGGUAAGCAAGUUAGAAGUGAAAUCCUGUAGCUCAACAACAGUAAGCUUUUAAGACUGCUCAUCUUGAGAUAUGGAAGGGAAAGUGGAAUUCCUAGUGUAGCGAUGAAAUGCGCAUAUAUUAGGAGAACUACGGGUAGCGAAGGCUACUUUCUGGCCAUAGACUGACGCUGAGGAACGAAAGCGUGGGUAGCAAACAGA
Molecule: ribosomal RNA, 402 nt
Filed under: Bacteroidota bacterium
Lineage: Bacteria; Pseudomonadati; Bacteroidota
Description: Bacteroidetes bacterium partial 16S ribosomal RNA
Rfam family: Bacterial small subunit ribosomal RNA
Source: RNAcentral